Molecule: ribosomal RNA, 431 nt
Filed under: uncultured bacterium
Lineage: Bacteria
Description: partial 16S ribosomal RNA
Rfam family: Bacterial small subunit ribosomal RNA
Source: RNAcentral
AUUAAUAGGAAAAGUAUUUUAUCGUCUUAUUUUGGUAUUUUUCUUGUUUUAUGAUUAGGUAGUUGGCCGGUAAAAGCGGUCCAAGCCAUGAUCGUUAGUUGGUCUUAGCGGAUGACCAGCCACAUUAGGAAUUGAAAUAUGGUCCAAACUCUAGAAGCGGAGGCUGCAGUGGGGAAUAUUGGACAAUGGGCGAAAGCCUGAUCCAGCAAUAUCUUGUUUGUUACUGUGUCUUAUAAAUACAUAACAAUGUAGUUAGAAAUAAGUAUGUCAUUUGUUCCAUCUACGUUUACAUAUAGUAAACGUAGAUUAUGCAAAUUACAGAAGAGAUAAUGACAAAAUCUAAAAAGUAAGCCCCGGCUAACUUCGUGCCAGCAGCAGCGGUAAUACGGGGGGGGGCGAGCGUUAUUCAUCUUGAAUGGGCGUAAAGGGUG